UGUGUGUGUGUACUUGUAACAUAAAAUUCAUACUUUUAACUAGUUAGAUAUGUAAAAAAAUGCAUAUUGAAAAGAAAAGAAAAACAUUAUUUACAUUAUGUCUAUAUGUAAGAUAAAAAAAAUUGAAAAUUGUGUGUACCUGCAUUUUCAGGUUAAGUAAAAGAUAAAAGUGAGACUGUAAAAUUAAAACUCAUAGUAUAAGCAAUAAUACAAAUAAUAAUAAGAGAUGGUAAUAUAAAAAAAAAAGAAGAAAUUGUGCAUGCUUACAUUUCUAACUUAAGUACAAGACAAAAGUUGAUACUAUAAAAUUGAAAUUCAAAGCAUAAGUAACAAUACUAAUAAUAAUAAUAAUAAAAGUUGUUGAAUCAUAAAAUAGAACAUGCAAAUUCUAGAAGUUCAAACUUUAAUAAUUAUACAUCAUGCCAUAUUGAUAUAUUUCAAAAGCAUUUAUAAUACUAACAAUAAUCAACAUAGAGAAGCAAAUUGAGUCAUCGUCGUCACCUCUUGGCUUUAUAAUACUAACAAUAAUACAUUGUGGCCUCGUAGCCUCUUGGCUUCGGGGCAGCUUCCUCUUUGAAGUCGCCUCACCUUGGCCUGGGGAGUCGCAGCAUGCUCGGCUCGGCUCACCUCGCCUGGCCUCUCGACUCGCCUGGCGCCUCUUCUCGCCUUUUACAACACUGAUGCAGAUAAGGAAAAAAAUAGAACGUAUUAUGAUUUAAUUAGUAAUUAUGAAAUUCAGAUUUUUAUUUAUGUUUUUUCCCUAUUCAAGAAUAUUAUGUAGCUUCCUAUUCAAGAAGUAUAGGACUUAUUAUUUAGGAAUUACCUUAUUUGGAAAGGUAGUUGCUUAAUUGGUAGUAUUGGUUUAGUAUUUUCCUCAUUUGGCAUUACUAAUCCUAAUAGGAUAUUAAGAUGAGGAAUUGCCUGUAGGUUGUUUAAACAUUUAUCUACUUGGUUGUUUUCUUUGGUUUUUGAUUGAUGCAAUAUUGCAGUAUGAGUUAAUUUUCAGUAUUUGGAGUGCACUUUUGCCUUGUGCUUCCCCUCUUUUCCUUGUCUCCUUCUUCCUAUUCAAUUAUUUUCUUUCUUUCAAAUUCAAAGGCUGCCUGUUACUAUAAUCUGAGUGACUGUUCAAAGCUUGAAAACAGGUACCAAAUUCUUCAUUUUCUCACUAAAAUGAGCUCCAAUUUAAUUUAGUAUAGGAUUUAUGUUCCUAAAUAGAUAUGAUCUGUUUCUUAAUUAGUAGAGUAUAUAUUCCUAAAUAGGUAAGUUUUAUAUUUCUAAUUAAGUGGAGUAGUUAUAAGAGAUUAUCAUAUAUAAAUAUGUAAACUUUUAUUUUAUUGAGUAAUGAGAAAAAAGAUGUAGCCUUUUGGGUGAUUUCCUUCUCUUCUCUUCUUUCCUUUUUUUCUUUCAUAGUGUUUGGAAUGAAUGAAUUCCACAAAAUUUUUGAAAUUCAUUUCUAAAUCCAAAAAUUUUAUGUAUGAAAGCAAAAAAAAAAAAAAGAAAAUAUAGAUUUCAAUUCUAUGAUUUGAUUUUUUGCAGAAUUGAACAUAAUUAUCCCAAAUUUCAUCAAAAUAGGCGGAAUUUCCAAAUGAAUUCCAUAAAAUUUACCACAAAAAUUAUUAUGACAAAACUAUCCACACUUAAACCUAUUUUUUUACCCCAAUCUUCAUAUCAUCGUUACUCUUCUCUCUCUCUCUCUCUCUCUCUCUCUCUCUCUCUCUCUCUCUCUCUCUCUCUCAUUAUUGAGAUUUGCUAAAUAAUUAAGUUUCAAAUAGUCUCAUGACUUUAUAUAUAAAACUGAAUUACUGAAUUUUAACUGAAAAAUUAUUAUAUAGUUAAAUGACGAGAUUAAAAUAAGAUAUUUAAAAUAUUAAAAUAGAAUCUUGAUUUUGUCUUUCCCUGGUUCUAAAUUCCAUUGAAUUUUUAAUGUAUUUGAAUAUUCUAUUUGUUGUUAGAAUGCCAUAAAGACCAAGGUUAUUGUUAUUUGAAGUUGUGUUACAUAUAAAUUUUACUUGUAGGAUUCUAAACUUUUUAGCGAUGUGUAACGGGCAGAUUUGAUAGCAGCUUCAAGACUGGAUAUACGGUUCAUAUAAAAAUUUUGGCCACUUCUUCCUCGUUGCAAAUAUGAGUUUCGUACGCGUGUUUUGAAGAGGUCCCAAGGCAUGGGAACAAAGUUGAAGACUUCGAACGGCCAAAGAAUUGAGAAAUGUUGCUGAUACAAUUUACACGAGUCAUGUAAUCAAAGCCAUAGAUCCAUGUAACUUACUGCUAGGAGAAAGACAAAGAACCAAAGAAGAAUCGAAGUACACGGGCCAUGUUCUGUGCCCCAUGUAAAAUAUGAAUACUUGUGUAAGUCUCUGCUGGGCCAAGCUUGAAGAUUUCCUUGAAAUACAAAAGUACACGGACUGUGUUAUCAGGCUCGUGUAACUACCUAAAGACCGUGUAAACUCCUGUACUGAUGCAAGAUGCAACCAAUCAAGCUCCAGUAAGUUACACGACCCUAGGCUAUGUAGUGAUGCACGUGCCGUGUAUCGUGCGGUAGCCGGUUUCCCAACUUGAUUCUAGCUUCAGUUUCUACAGAGAAAAGAGACUCCUUAUGCCUUAAGGACUUUAAAAACCUAACCUUAGCCCAAUCAUUAUAAAUAGAGGCAGCAGAUAACAAGAGGGAGAGCUUUUUUGACCUUCACUAUUUUCACACAACCGUUUAGAAGAAUAGUGCAUUGGCAUCAAGGAGAAACCCUCAGCUGAAGUUCCACAAGAUCAAAGCUGCAGAUUCUCUUCGGUUCUUUUGUUUUAUUUCUUUAAGCAGACUUUUUAUGUUCUUUCAUUUUAUUUUCAUUAUGUUUGCUAAACUCACCAUGAGUGAGUAAUUCCUUUAUUCUGGGAUUAGGAGAGUAGCACUUGUAAUCGUUAUUAUGGAUCAAUAUUAAGUCUCUAUUUAUUGGAUCUGAGUUUUUCCCUUUGAUUUAA
Molecule: long non-coding RNA, 2967 nt
Organism: Hevea brasiliensis (rubber tree)
Lineage: Eukaryota; Viridiplantae; Streptophyta; Magnoliopsida; Malpighiales; Euphorbiaceae
Exons: 2
Source: RefSeq, a predicted model, not a curated record